UACGAAGGGGGCUAGCGUUGCUCGGAAUGACUGGGCGUAAAGGGCGCGUAGGCGGUUUGUACAGUCAGAUGUGAAAUUCCUGGGCUCAACCUGGGGGCUGCAUUUGAUACGUAUGGACUGGAGUGAGGAAGAGGGUCGUGGAAUUCCUAGUGUAGAGGUGAAAUUCGUAGAUAUUAGGAAGAACACCGGUGGCGAAGGCGGCCCACUGGUCCGGUACUGACGCUGAGGUGCGAAAGCGUGGGGAGCAAACAGG
This 253-nucleotide ribosomal RNA is filed under the name uncultured bacterium. RNAcentral describes it as "partial 16S ribosomal RNA". It matches the Rfam family "Bacterial small subunit ribosomal RNA", at positions 524 to 776 of the family's 1533-position model. The record is from RNAcentral.